RNAcentral lists this ribosomal RNA (253 nucleotides) under uncultured bacterium. RNAcentral's name for it is "partial 16S ribosomal RNA". It matches the Rfam family "Bacterial small subunit ribosomal RNA", at positions 524 to 776 of the family's 1533-position model. The record is from RNAcentral.
UACGAAGGGGGCUAGCGUUGCUCGGAAUCACUGGGCGUAAAGCGCACGUAGGCGGCUUUCUAAGUCAGAGGUGAAAUCCUGGAGCUCAACUCCAGAACUGCCUUUGAUACUGGGAAGCUUGAGUUCGGGAGAGGUGAGUGGAACUGCGAGUGUAGAGGUGAAAUUCGUAGAUAUUCGCAAGAACACCAGUGGCGAAGGCGGCUCACUGGCCCGAUACUGACGCUGAGGUGCGAAAGCGUGGGGAGCAAACAGG